This 328-nucleotide ribosomal RNA is filed under the name uncultured eukaryote. Its description in RNAcentral is "partial 18S ribosomal RNA". It matches the Rfam family "Eukaryotic small subunit ribosomal RNA", at positions 1470 to 1796 of the family's 1831-position model. The record is from RNAcentral.
CCCUUAGACGUUCUGGGCCGCACGCGCGCUACACUGACGGAGCCAGCGAGUAUAAACCUUGGCCGAGAGGUCUGGGAAAUCUUGUGAAACUCCGUCGUGCUGGGGAUAGAGCAUUGUAAUUAUUGCUCUUCAACGAGGAAUUCCUAGUAAGCGCAAGUCAUCAGCUUGCGUUGAUUACGUCCCUGCCCUUUGUACACACCGCCCGUCGCUACUACCGAUUGAAUGGCUUAGUGAGGCUUCCGGAUUGGUUUAGAGAAGGGGGCAACUCCAUCUUGGAACCGAGAAGCUAGUCAAACUUGGUCAUUUAGAGGAAGUAAAAGUCGUAGCA